This 443-nucleotide ribosomal RNA is filed under the name uncultured bacterium. RNAcentral's name for it is "partial 16S ribosomal RNA". It matches the Rfam family "Bacterial small subunit ribosomal RNA", at positions 338 to 795 of the family's 1533-position model. The record is from RNAcentral.
CCUACGGGAGGCAGCAGUGGGGAAUAUUGCACAAUGGUGGGAACCCUGAUGCAGCAAUGCCGCGUGCAGGAUGAAGGUCUUCGGAUUGUAAAAUUCUUUUGUACGGGACGAAGAAAGCGACGGUACUGUAAUUAUAAGCCACGGCUAACUACGUGCAAGCAGCCGCGGUAAUACGUAGGGGGCAAGCGUUAUCCGGAUUUACUGGGUGUAAAGAGCGAGUAGGCGGGAUGGCAAGUCAGAUGUGAAAACUAUGGGCUCAACCGAUAGAGUGCAUUUGAAACUGCAGUGCUUGAGUGAUGGAGAGGCAGGCGGAAUUCCCGGUGUAGCGGUGGAAUGCGUAGAUAUCGGGAGGAACACCAGUGGCGAAGGCGGCCUGCUGGACAUUAACUGACGCUGAGGCGCGAAAGCGUGGGGAGCAAACAGGAUUAGAUACCCUAGUAGUC